CUUGGUCAUUUAGAGGAAGUAAAAGUCGUAACAAGGUUUCCGUAGGUGAACCUGCGGAAGGAUCAUUAAUGAAAGAAUUUGGUGGUCUGUAGCUGGCUCCCUGGAGCAUGUGCACGGUCAUCAUAUUUAUUCAUCCACCUGUGCACAAUUUGUAGUCUUGAGGGGAUUUGAUAACGGGGCUGAUUACAGUUCCGUGACCUGUUUUCUCAAGUCUAUGUGUCUUCUUCAUACACUACAUAGCAUGUCGCAGAAUGUAUUUAAUGGGUCUUUGUGCCUAUAAAAACUUUAUACAACUUUCAGCAACGGAUCUCUUGGCUCUCGCAUCGAUGAAGAACGCAGCGAAAUGCGAUAAGUAAUGUGAAUUGCAGAAUUCAGUGAAUCAUCGAAUCUUUGAACGCACCUUGCGCUCCUUGGUAUUCCGAGGAGCAUGCCUGUUUGAGUGUCAUUAAAUUCUCAACCUAUCCGACUUGUAUUAGUUGGUGUGUGGUUGGAUGNUNGGGGGUGUUUUUGCAGGCCUUUUAGGUCAGCUCCCCUGAAAUGCAUUAGCGGAACGGUUUGCGAUCCGUCACUGGUGUGAUAAUUAUCUACGCCAAAGACUAUGGAACGCUCUCUGUCUGUUCAGCUUACAACAGUCCCAUCUUGUGGACAACUUUUGAAUGUUUGACCUCAAAUCAGGUAGGACUACCCGCUGAACUUAAGCAUAUCAAUAAGCGGAGGAAAAGAAACUAACAAGGAUUCCCCUAGUAACUGCGAGUGAAGCGGGAAAAGCUCAAAUUUGAAAUCUGGCGGUCCUUGGCCGUCCGAGUUGUAAUCUAGAGAAGUGUUACCCGCGCUGGACCGUGUACAAGUCUCCUGGAAUGGAGCGUCAUAGAGGGUGAGAAUCCCGUCUCUGACACGGACUCCCAGGGCUUUGUGGUAUGCUCUCAAAGAGUCGAGUUGUUUGGGAAUGCAGCUCAAAAUGGGUGGUAAAUUCCAUCUAAAGCUAAAUAUUGGCGAGAGACCGAUAGCGAACAAGUACCGUGAGGGAAAGAUGAAAAGAACUUUGGAAAGAGAGUUAAACAGUACGUGAAAUUGCUGAAAGGGAAACGCUUGAAGU
RNAcentral lists this ribosomal RNA (1096 nucleotides) under uncultured Basidiomycota. RNAcentral's name for it is "eukaryotic LSU rRNA". The stretch from base 662 to 1096 matches the Rfam family "Eukaryotic large subunit ribosomal RNA", at positions 1 to 429 of the family's 3401-position model. Lineage: Eukaryota; Fungi; Basidiomycota. The record is from RNAcentral.